This 59-nucleotide transfer RNA is filed under the name Hyalella azteca. Its description in RNAcentral is "tRNA-Thr". Lineage: Eukaryota; Metazoa; Arthropoda; Malacostraca; Amphipoda; Hyalellidae. The record is from RNAcentral.
ACUUAUAUAGUUUAAUAAAAACAAUAGUUUUGUAAACUGUAAUUGAGUUCCUGUAAGUU